This is a non-coding RNA of Biomphalaria pfeifferi, 976 nucleotides long. The record is from the annotation of a GenBank genome assembly. Lineage: Eukaryota; Metazoa; Mollusca; Gastropoda; Planorbidae.
CAAAAAUUAAGAGAGUCAUUUUUGUAAUCAUUAUUAGAGCCCUUAUACUUCCUGAGUAUCAGAACACUUCUAUGGCACAGUAGAUUUUGUUUCAAAAAAAUUAGACUAUAGAUGUUAUUAACAUCAUUUUUUUGUUGUUUAAAGGUCAGAUGUCAACGGACGACUGUCUUUAUACUUGUUGAUAUGUUUGAAUGACUGCAUGCACCCUCAUUAAUGUGUCAUCUAUAUAUGUAUCUAUAUCAUCUUUAUUGUUAUUUUUAUGAUAAUGGAAAUGUCAUAUGCUAAUACCUAUCGUUUACAAAUGAUGUUGGACCUAAUUAAGGGGAGGCUAUCAUUUCAUUGUUUUGUAAUAUAUUCCGUAACCUUACUGGAUAAAACUUGAGAAACCCUUUUUAUCUUGGUUUGAUGUAAUGUUAGGUUUGAUUUAAUGGCUAGACUUCUACAUUCAGGUCUGGAUAAUGCUUCUUAUUAGUUGUGGAAGUAAAACUAAAGCAAGAUCAAAUAUAGUUUGUAUUUUAUUUCAUUAAAUGAACUAUGGCCUAGCAUGGUUCUAAAUGUAUUAAUGAUGUCAGAGCUACUAUUUUGAUUCUAGAUACAAUUGGUCUUAUGUAAGGAUUCUAUCUUGUCUAGGAUCUCCACCUCAGAGUUGUGAAGUCUUGUCUAUGAUCUUCACCUCAGAGCUGUGAUGCAUCAAGAUCUCUACCUCUGGCUGUUAAAUCUAGGAUAUCUGUCACAGGGCUGUGGGGUCAGAACCAAGGUUAUAUAAAUAAAAAAAAGUGUAUCCCCAAUAGCAUCAAUGAGAGCCCAAAUAAAAGCUAAGUUUAUAUCUUAGUUGAGAGACUUUUUGUUUGCUCCCUUUGUAGAGUAAAUACCAUCAACUCUUUGAACUCAUCUAACUCUACUCCAUUGUUCCUCUCCAAUGCCUUCUCUUGACCAAGACUGCUCUAGUGUAAGAUAGCCCCCCCCCCCCCCCCCA